RNAcentral lists this ribosomal RNA (253 nucleotides) under uncultured bacterium. RNAcentral's name for it is "partial 16S ribosomal RNA". It matches the Rfam family "Bacterial small subunit ribosomal RNA", at positions 524 to 776 of the family's 1533-position model. The record is from RNAcentral.
GACAGAGGUGCCGAGCGUUAGGCGGAAUUACUGGGCGUAAAGCGCACGUAGGCGGCUAUUCAAGUCAGAGGUGAAAGCCCGGGGCUCAACCCCGGAACUGCCUUUGAAACUAGGUAGCUAGAAUCUUGGAGAGGUCAGUGGAAUUCCGAGUGUAGAGGUGAAAUUCGUAGAUAUUCGGAAGAACACCAGCGGCGAAGGCGACUGACUGGACAAGUAUUGACGCUGAGGUGCGAAAGCGUGGGGAGCAAACAGG